UGAUUUAUUAAUUUAGUCAAAGUCAAAUAUUAAUUUCAACCAUACAUACAUAACUAUUACUCAUUUAUUAUCCACACAUUUCGAGGAACACACUACUAUUCCUCUCUAUGAUGGUUCAUAAAUUUGCCAAAAGGAGGCUAAGUGAUCAAAUAGGCCUGGAUCAUUUUCCCAUAAAGACGAUAAAAAUGACUUUAAACCCAAAGCAAUGCUGAUAACCACAAUGAUUUUUGAAAGAUUUUAGCAUUCUUAGCGAUCCAUGUGCACCAUCAUAGCACAGCUCCACAUUAUUUUUGCUUCUUUACUAGUGCUACUAUCUGAAAUCUUACAAUUAAAUAAAUCAACCAAAGCUGUUUCUGGACAAUGGACUCUUUGAAGUCUAGAAUCAAUCUCAAACAUGAUUUUUCUAGUGAAAUCAUAAUGUAAGAAAAGAUGAGGUCCUGUUACGUCACCUACAUAUGAAUUAAAUGACAAAGCUCAUGGGAGCUAUGCUUUUAUGACCAAUCACUACUUGAUUUUCAUUUGGAUCAAAGUUCAUGAAGUGGCUUCAUCUUUUAUAGGAUUUGCAAUUUUUGAAUGUAAAACAUCAACCGAGUAAUAGGUGUAUAUUAUUAUACUAUUAAUACUUCUUGUUUUAAUAUUAUGUCUUGCAAUACUGGUUUAGUUAUAGUAUACACUUUUAUGGAUUAAAAAGUUCUAGAUAUCUUCUAUGGAUUUAAAAGUGAUUGUUGGGUUGAAAGCAAAAGGUGAACUAGAAAGUUGAAGUGAACGUUGAGUUUUCUUGUUUGGUUGAAGUGAACACAAAGUGACAGGAAAAUGAAUUCAGUUUGUAGUUCAAGUACUAUAUGGCCAAAGUUUAACCUGCGUAUCAUUUUGAACAAUUAUUCAAAAAUUUGUUUCCGCAAACCAGAGGGACGAAAGUUUCUCUCUGGAAGGAAUGAAAUUGGAGUUUCCACCAACUUUACCCUUGUACCAAACAUAUUGUUUUUGAUAUGGUUUGUAAACCAUGUGUAGUAAAACCAAGCAUAGCGUUAUGAUAUAUUUUGUACAUCAUCUGUAGUAGACUAGAGUUCUCACUUAAACAAAUCUUGCAAGGGAUAUAAUAUUGCUGAAGUAAUGUUAAGAGGGAACAUGUUUUUUCUAGUAAAAUCUUUUAAGUCUAUACUUGCCUUCAUAUGCAUCCUUUUGCUGGUGGCUGGAAGGGUGGUAAUUUCGUUUUUGUUCUCUCCUUUUUGAGUUUGAAGUUUUGACCUCUGGCUAUGGUUCUUGUGUUUUCUUUCGUUUUUCUUCUCUAACGGCUAUGUAACAUGGACACUGUAACUAGGAUAGCGUGUCCGUGUCGGACAAGUGUCGAUACUGACACUCUUCGAACAUUCUACAAUAAUUAUUUUCCUUUCUUAUUAUAGCUAUUAUAUAUUUUUGACUCAAAUUUUUUAAUAAAUAACAAAUAAGUACUCAUAUUUAAAAGAUUUCAAUAAAAGAGAAUCAAUAAUAAGUGUAAAACUAAAUUUAAAUCAUAUAAAUGAAGAAUUUUAAAGAAUUUAAUGAACAUGUAGAUGAUGUGUCGUAUCAAUACUUUUUUGAAAAAUCACGAGUCGACAUAUCCAACACGUAUCGUGUCGGACACACGUGUCUGUGUUUGUGCAUCAUAGUCUGAUGGUGUUCAAAUGUAUAUAUUUUUUCUACCGUGUUGGUGCAUCAUAUUCUGAUGGUGUUCACAUGUAUAUAUUUUUUCUUUUCUAUUUUGCAUAGACUAUAGACGUUGAAUACUGUUGCUAUGGUUCCAAAUUGUUUUGGGUUUCCCAAAAAUACCUUAGAAGGGUUUUCAAAACGAUAAUAAUUGAUGGUUUAUGCAGCCCAAAACAGUGAAUGCGUUUCAAAGGGUGAAAGUUGAUGAUGUGAAAUAUGUUGAUGAGAGGCUUCAAGAUAACUCUUAUUGGGCACUGGUUUGUUUCUUAUCCUUUUUAUUUUCGCAUGCUCUGGUGAAUGUAUGAAUAUUUAUUUGUGUACAUGUGACACCGAAUAUUUUAUGCACAGACAAUAAAUGUUUCCAUAAAGCAUUCUUUACCAUGUUCUCUUGUGUUUUAACAUUUAAGGUGCAUUCGAUUGUCAAUAUGUUUCAUGAAAAAUUUGUUUUUCCAUUCAAAUAUCUACUUUUUUGUUGUUUGAUUGACUUUUUUCUAUAGAAAACAAUCUUUUUAGGGGAAGUAAGAUUUUGUUUCCAAGGAAUCCACUCUCUCUUAUUUAUCCCUUCUCUUUUAUCCACUCAUCAAUAAAAAAUGGACAAGUAUAAUUAUCUAGAUUGAAAAUUAAAUCAAUCAAAC
RNAcentral lists this long non-coding RNA (2321 nucleotides) under Olea europaea subsp. europaea. The record is from RNAcentral. Lineage: Eukaryota; Viridiplantae; Streptophyta; Magnoliopsida; Lamiales; Oleaceae.